Felis catus (domestic cat) is the source of this 73-nucleotide transfer RNA. It matches the Rfam family "tRNA". From Rfam's summary of the family: Transfer RNA (tRNA) molecules are approximately 80 nucleotides in length. Their secondary structure includes four short double-helical elements and three loops (D, anti-codon, and T loops). Further hydrogen bonds mediate the characteristic L-shaped molecular structure. tRNAs have two regions of fundamental functional importance: the anti-codon, which is responsible for specific mRNA codon recognition, and the 3' end, to which the tRNAs corresponding amino acid is attached (by aminoacyl-tRNA synthetases). tRNAs cope with the degeneracy of the genetic code in two manners: having more than one tRNA (with a specific anti-codon) for a particular amino acid; and 'wobble' base-pairing, i.e. permitting non-standard base-pairing at the 3rd anti-codon position. Lineage: Eukaryota; Metazoa; Chordata; Mammalia; Carnivora; Felidae. The record is from Rfam.
ACCUGGCUGGCUCAGCUGGUAGAGCAUGCAACUGUUGAUCUCAGGGCUGUGAGUUCAAACCCCACGCUGGGUG